GCACUUGUAAUACGAACGUGCGAACUCGUAUUUCACGUACAUCAACUGCGUCGGACAGACACUUUGUUAAAGCGGCAUCAUUGGCUGCUGGCUCCGUUCUGAAUAUGUACAUCCAAACAUCAACGAGCAGUGCGUAGUUUUUAACUAUGGUAAUUAGAUAAAUGGUCCGGCCGGUCAUAAUAGUAGCGGAAUGUUAUACUUGCCCAUUUCACGCAAAUCAGAAUGAACGAGGAUGAAAGUAAAUCGCAAUUUUGUCAAAAUUCAACAAUAAUAUUAUAGGUAACCAAAAAAGGGUAAUUUAGUAAUUAAAAUUACCUACUUUUAAGGUUA
This is a long non-coding RNA of Bombyx mori (domestic silkworm), 330 nucleotides long. RefSeq lists it as uncharacterized. The transcript has 2 exons. The record is from RefSeq and is a predicted model, not a curated record. NCBI's taxonomy places the organism in Eukaryota, Metazoa, Arthropoda, Insecta, Lepidoptera, Bombycidae.